RNAcentral lists this unclassified non-coding RNA (2009 nucleotides) under uncultured fungus. RNAcentral's name for it is "sequence contains 18S rRNA gene, ITS1, 5.8S rRNA gene, ITS2, 28S rRNA gene". The stretch from base 894 to 2009 matches the Rfam family "Eukaryotic large subunit ribosomal RNA", at positions 1 to 961 of the family's 3401-position model. The record is from RNAcentral. Lineage: Eukaryota; Fungi.
GGAAGGAUCCUCGCAUCAACGCUUGUAUACCAACAUUCAAACCCAAUGUGAACCGUAACGUCCCUAGUCUUGUUCAUUUAAUUUCUUUCAAGGAAUUAAGUGGACGAGAUUAGACAAUACCCUGUUAAGAAUUCGAACUUGUGUCGAGUUCUUAACGUUUAUUCCCCUAAUUUUAACCCUAUAAACUAAAUGUUUGUCUUAUCUUCUUCAGACUGAGUUUGGAAGCCUGAGAAUUUAAUCAUUCUCUUGUGUUUUCUUUCUUAGCUUUGUUACGAAAUUUAGAACAACUCUUAGCAAUGGAUAUCUUGGGUCAUGUAACGAUGAAGAACGCAGCGAAAUGCGAUAUGUAAUGCGAAUUGCAGAAUUCAGUGAAUCAUCAAAUCUUUGAACGCAAAUUGCGCUCUCGGGUAUGCCUGGGAGCACGCCUCUUUGAGUAUCGGUUCUCUUCACAACCAACGGCUUCCGUGUAGAAAUUCGUUUCCUCACGACAAGUGCAGUUGAAUACUGAGUGUUUCCUUGCUUCACUGCAACGAAUCGCUUGAAAUAUUCCAUUUUGACAAACUUACCUUGGCUUGAGAACUCUCACAGCUCUGUUUUCACUUCAGCAAUGAAUGGAAAACUAGUUUGCACCUUGUCCGUUUUGACUUGAAAAUCAAAACAACGUAGAUAAUUGCCUUGUGCAUAUUUUGCGUUGCGUUUGCUUUUCGAUGUCAUUACUUGUGCGAAUGAAUGGCUGGGAUCGAUGUUCCUUCCACUUUGACCUUUCCUUUCGCACAGAAGAAUUGUGUAUCGCAAUUCCUUUUGGCAUGAUUUCGACUUCUUUGAAGUGUCUCGAAGUUGUGUUGUUUUGUAUUGGAUUCGUGUUUGUUUGUCAUACCUUUGAAUCAUAUAUUAGAUCUCAGAUGAAGCGAGAUUACCCCCUGAAUUUAAGCAUAUUAAUAAGGGGAGGAAAAGAAAAUAACCAUGAUUCCCCUAGUAACGGCGAGUGAAGCGGGAAGAGCUCAAAUUGAAAAUCGACUGUUCAAGCGAAUCGUCGAAUUGUAUCCUAGAGACAUGUUGUCAGUGUUUGCCCCAGAAAUAAGUCUUUUGAAACAAGGCAUCACAGAGGGUGAGAAUCCCGUGUAGUUUCUGGAGUGCAACACGUACGACGCGUGUUCAUUGAGUCGAGUUGUUUGGGAUUGCAGCUCUAAAUGGCGGGUAAAUUUCCGCUAAAGCUAAAUAUUGACAUGACACCGAUAGCGAACAAGUACCGUGAGGGAAAGAUGAAAAGAACUUUGAAAAGAGAGUUAAAAAGUACUUGAAAUUGUUAAGAGGGAAGCGCUGGAAACCAGUUUUUACUGCGACUAUUUUGAUGCGACUGCGAUGGUCUGCUAUUUUUUCCUGUGGUUAAACCAGGAAGGGUUGCAGGCUGUUUCGGUUGUAUUUUCAGUUGUCGUAGUCAAGUCAAAAUCAAUUCGAUUCGAAUGAGAUGAUCAUGAGGUUGGUAGAACAAGCAAUUGUUUGAAGCCUUGUGAUUUUAAUUUGGAUUGGAUUGAGGAUGAAAUAGCACGCCUGCUGGCUUCAUUGUUGUUUUUCUGCUGGUGCAUAGAGGUUAGGAUAACAAUGUUAUACGAUUUUUAUGUGCUGGUACUGAGGAUGACAAUGCUAUGUGUUAUCACGAUUUUGACGAAAUGGUUUUCAUCGACCCGUCUUGAAACACGGACCAAGGAGUCUAACAUCUAUGCGAGUAUUUGGGUGGGAAACCCUGAUGCGAAAUGAAAGUAAAGGUACUUCGUGUACUUUGGUAGGAAGCCGGUCAAACGGUGGCACUAUCGACCAAUCAUCACUUGUGAAAGAUUUGAGUAAGAGCAUAUCUGUUGGGACCCGAAAGAUGGUGAUCUAUGCCUGAAUAGGGUGAAGCCAGGAGAAAUUCUGGUGGAGGCUCGUAGCGAUACUGACGUGCAAAUCGUUCGUCUAAUUUGGGUAUAGGGGCGAAAGACUAAUCGAACCAUCUAGUAGCUGGUUCCCUC